CUUUUACCAUGAAGAGUUUGAUCCUGGCUCAGGAUGAACGCUAGCGACAGGCUUAACACAUGCAAGUCGAGGGGCAGCGGGGAGUAGCAAUACUUCGCCGGCGACCGGCG
This 110-nucleotide ribosomal RNA is filed under the name Butyricimonas faecihominis. RNAcentral describes it as "partial 16S ribosomal RNA". It matches the Rfam family "Bacterial small subunit ribosomal RNA", at positions 1 to 100 of the family's 1533-position model. The record is from RNAcentral. Lineage: Bacteria; Pseudomonadati; Bacteroidota; Bacteroidia; Bacteroidales; Odoribacteraceae.